Molecule: ribosomal RNA, 494 nt
Filed under: Protobothrops jerdonii
Lineage: Eukaryota; Metazoa; Chordata; Lepidosauria; Squamata; Viperidae
Description: partial 12S ribosomal RNA
Rfam family: Bacterial small subunit ribosomal RNA
Source: RNAcentral
GCCUAACCAAAUACACAAUUAAAUUACCAAUUGUCCGCCAAACAACUACGAGUCCCACUUAAAACUUAAAAGACUUGACGGUACUUCACCACGACCUAGAGGAGCCUGUCUGAUAACCGACAAUCCACGAUUAACCCCACCCUUUCUCGCCCAACAGUCUAUAUACCGCCGUCGCCAGCUUACCUUGUAAAAGAAAUAAAGUGAGCCAAACAGUACUGCACUAAAACGACAGGUCGAGGUGUAACCCAUGAAAGGGGUUAAGAUGGGCUACAUUCUCCAGCCGAGAAUACGAAUAGCACUAUGAAACUAGUGCCUGAAGACGGAUUUAGCAGUAAGAUAGGAAUAAAACACCUAACUGAACACAACGCAAUGAAGUGCGUACACACCGCCCGUCAUCCCUGCCACACAACAUUAAAUCUUAAUAAACCAACAAAAAAGCCAAACAGGGCAAGUCGUAACAUGGUAAGUGUACUGGAAAGUGUACUUAGAAACAA